RNAcentral lists this ribosomal RNA (349 nucleotides) under uncultured bacterium. RNAcentral describes it as "partial 16S ribosomal RNA". It matches the Rfam family "Bacterial small subunit ribosomal RNA", at positions 338 to 704 of the family's 1533-position model. The record is from RNAcentral.
CCUACGGGUGGCAGCAGUAGGGAAUAUUGCUCAAUGGGGGAAACCCUGAAGCAGCAACGCCGCGUGGAGGAUGAAGGUUCUCGGAUUGUAAACUCCUUUUGUUAGAGAAGAGAAGGACGGUAUGUAACGAAUAAGGACCGGCUAACACCGGGCCAGCAGCCGCGGUAAUACGGAGGGUGCAAGCGUUAAUCGGAAUGACUGGGCGUAAAGAGAGCGUAGGGGGGUUUGAAAGUCAGAUGUGAAAUCCUCUGGCUUAACCAUAGAACUGCAUUUGAAACUGUUAAUCUAGAGUAUGGGAGAGGUAGGUGGAAUUCUUGGUGUAGCGGUCACAUCCGUAGCGAUCACGCGG